RNAcentral lists this ribosomal RNA (501 nucleotides) under uncultured bacterium. RNAcentral describes it as "partial 16S ribosomal RNA". It matches the Rfam family "Bacterial small subunit ribosomal RNA", at positions 30 to 523 of the family's 1533-position model. The record is from RNAcentral.
AUUGAACGCUGGCGGCAGGCUUAACACAUGCAAGUCGAGCGGGGGAAGGUAGCUUGCUACUGAUCUUAGCGGCGGACGGGUGAGUAAUGCUUAGGAAUCUGCCUAUUAGUGGGGGACAACAUUUCGAAAGGAAUGCUAAUACCGCAUACGUCCUACGGGAGAAAGCAGGGGAUCUUCGGACCUCGCGCUAAUAGAUGAGCCUAAGUCGGAUUAGCUAGUUGGUGGGGUAAAGGCCUACCAAGGCGACGAUCUGUAGCGGGUCUGAGAGGAUGAUCCGCCACACUGGGACUGAGACACGGCCCAGACUCCUACGGGAGGCAGCAGUGGGGAAUAUUGGACAAUGGGCGCAAGCCUGAUCCAGCCAUGCCGCGUGUGUGAAGAAGGCCUUAUGGUUGUAAAGCACUUUAAGCGAGGAGGAGGCUACUUUAGAUAAUACCUAGAGAUAGUGGACGUUACUCGCAGAAUAAGCACCGGCUAACUCUGUGCCAGCCGCCGCCGUAA